GUAGGUGGCAAGCGUUGUCCGGGAAUUAUUGGGGCGUAAAGCGCGCGCAGGCGGUUCUUUAAGUCUGAUGUGAAAGCCCACGGGCUCAACCGUGGAGGGUCAUUGGAAACUGGAGAACUUGAGUACAGAAGAGGAAAGCGGAAUUCCACGUGUAGCGGUGAAAUGCGUAGAGAUGUGGAGGAACACCAGUGGCGAAGGCGGCUUUCUGGUCUGUAACUGACGCUGAGGCGCGAAAGCGUGGGGAGCAAACAGGAUUAGAUACCCUGGUAGUCCACGCCGUAAACGAUGAGUGCUAAGCGUUAGGGGGUUUCCGCCCCUUAGUGCUGCAGCUAACGCAUUAAGCACUCCGCCUGGGGAGUACGGCCGCAAAGGCUG
Molecule: ribosomal RNA, 375 nt
Filed under: uncultured organism
Description: partial 16S ribosomal RNA
Rfam family: Bacterial small subunit ribosomal RNA
Source: RNAcentral